UCGAACGAUGAACCCGCUUGCGGGGGAUUAGUGGCGAACGGGUGAGUAACACGUGAGUAACCUGCCCUUAACUCUGGGAUAAGCCUUGGAAACGGGGUCUAAUACUGGAUAUUGACUUUACCUCGCAUGGGGUUUUGUUGAAAGAUUUAUUGGUUUUGGAUGGACUCGCGGCCUAUCAGCUUGUUGGUGAGGUAAUGGCUCACCAAGGCGACGACGGGUAGCCGGCCUGAGAGGGUGACCGGCCACACUGGGACUGAGACACGGCCCAGACUCCUACGGGAGGCAGCAGUGGGGAAUAUUGCACAAUGGGCGAAAGCCUGAUGCAGCGACGCCGCGUGAGGGAUGACGGCCUUCGGGUUGUAAACCUCUUUCAGUAGGGAACAAGGCCAGCAUUUUUGUUGGUUGAGGGUACUUGCAGAAGAAGCGCCGGCUAACUACGUGCCAGCAGCCGCGGUAAUACGUAGGGCGCAAGCGUUAUCCGGAAUUAUUGGGCGUAAAGAGCUCGUAGGCGGUUUGUCGCGUCUGCCGUGAAAGUCCGGGGCUCAACUCCGGAUCUGCGGUGGGUACGGGCAGACUAGAGUGAUGUAGGGGAGACUGGAAUUCCUGGUGUAGCGGUGAAAUGCGCAGAUAUCAGGAGGAACACCGAUGGCGAAGGCAGGUCUCUGGGCAUUAACUGACGCUGAGGAGCGAAAGCAUGGGGAGCGAACAGGAUUAGAUACCCUGGUAGUCCAUGCCGUAAACGUUGG
This 746-nucleotide ribosomal RNA is filed under the name Arthrobacter sp. G6_1. Its description in RNAcentral is "bacterial SSU rRNA". It matches the Rfam family "Bacterial small subunit ribosomal RNA", at positions 62 to 812 of the family's 1533-position model. The record is from RNAcentral. Lineage: Bacteria; Bacillati; Actinomycetota; Actinomycetes; Micrococcales; Micrococcaceae.